GGCGAGAUGGCCGAGUGGUUAAGGCGACAGAUUUAAGAGAUAUCUCUUAGAUCUUAUCUAAGAUUUAUCUAAAUCCCUGUUGACGAAAGUCGCGUGGGUUCGAACCCCACUCUCGCCA
Non-coding RNA from Aspergillus leporis, 118 nucleotides. Lineage: Eukaryota; Fungi; Ascomycota; Eurotiomycetes; Eurotiales; Aspergillaceae. The record is from the annotation of a GenBank genome assembly.